GCCCCGGUCGUAUAGCCCGGUCAAGUAUGCGGGCCUUUCAAGCCCGUGACCCGGGUUCAAAUCCCGGCCGGGGCACCA
RNAcentral lists this transfer RNA (78 nucleotides) under Thermoprotei archaeon. RNAcentral's name for it is "tRNA-Glu". It matches the Rfam family "tRNA". Rfam says of the family: Transfer RNA (tRNA) molecules are approximately 80 nucleotides in length. Their secondary structure includes four short double-helical elements and three loops (D, anti-codon, and T loops). Further hydrogen bonds mediate the characteristic L-shaped molecular structure. tRNAs have two regions of fundamental functional importance: the anti-codon, which is responsible for specific mRNA codon recognition, and the 3' end, to which the tRNAs corresponding amino acid is attached (by aminoacyl-tRNA synthetases). tRNAs cope with the degeneracy of the genetic code in two manners: having more than one tRNA (with a specific anti-codon) for a particular amino acid; and 'wobble' base-pairing, i.e. permitting non-standard base-pairing at the 3rd anti-codon position. Lineage: Archaea; Thermoproteati; Thermoproteota; Thermoprotei. The record is from RNAcentral. RNAcentral also lists the same sequence under 1 other name.